This is a long non-coding RNA of Talpa occidentalis (Iberian mole), 2852 nucleotides long. RefSeq lists it as uncharacterized. NCBI's taxonomy places the organism in Eukaryota, Metazoa, Chordata, Mammalia, Eulipotyphla, Talpidae. The transcript is spliced from 5 exons. The record is from RefSeq and is a predicted model, not a curated record.
UGUGGGUGCCUGCUGGGCAGCGGCUGAUGCCCUGGGGGGGUCUCCUCAUGGAGGUCCUGAUAGUAGGCAGGUCAGUGCUCCCAGUUUACAAAGAAAUUCAGGUUUGAAAAGGCAAAGUCAUCCACAAUCAUGUAGGUGGAAGAGGCACAGCCCACCUUCCAGAACCUUCCUCAGGCUGAGAACAGAGAGGGCUAGAGUCCAGACUCAAUGGGUGGCGGCCAGGUGGUGCCUUCCAACCAGCAGCCCCUCGGGUCCAGGGAGGUCAGAGCUCAAGGCUGUGGGUGGUUCAGGCCUGCUGUGGUCUCGCACCCCAAACCUGCAGGCUACUAGGGCCACUUGACAGAGAGUCGACUCAGAUGCUCAAGCGCUUGAACACUCACCCCAAAGGCCCAAGCACCCAAGCUGCUCCCUCUCCACCUAGCAGAGGAAGCCCCAAGAGUGAGCCAGCGGCGUGAGCUUGUAACCCCUCUCCCUGUCCUAUAACAAGCUGACCGGGGAGGAGAGGGCCCCCGGCCAGUCGCUGUCUCGUCCAUGCUGGUGCGGUGCGGGGAGCUUGGUCUCCUCUCAGCCCGAAAGGCAGGCUUGGGACUUUACUGCCAUUUUAACGCACGGUCUGCGUAAGGAACCACAGGGUUAGCGGCGGUGACCUGGAUGACAAACCACAGCCAUCACGCUCACAAACGCAGGAACCAAAACAGAGGUACAGAAAUCAAGUCGGUGACCGAUUUUUAAGGAAUUGAAAGGUGAAACUCCUCUGCGUGGUAAGGACUCAGCGUUCAGGACUCACGCGGCCCACCCUGCCUGGAGCUGUGCCCCAGGAGACAGUGUGAACGUCUGCACACACUGAACUGAAUGUGAAAGUCUUUCUUUCUUGACCACGAGCUGACGGGAACCUGGACUGUGCUCAGCAGGAUGAAGGAAGUCUGCCCCCCAACCCCGGGCACCCCUCCGGCUCCGGGGCAGAGGAGACACAGGCCAGUCGACAGUAAGCUCCACGGGGCAUCUCGCUCACAACGGGUCCCCCCAACUUUUACCCCAAGGGACAGGCACAUACCGGGAUCUUUGCCUAAGAAAGAAAAGCAGUGACUGGGUAAAGGAAAAGCUCAUGGAUUCUGAUAAGACACUGUUGUUAGCGAUUUCAUUCAUUCAAGAAAUACUGGCAUUUGUUGAAUUUCACAGAGGGGAGAAAAGACUAGUUUCUGAGAUGAUUCACCGCACAUGUGUCCUGAGCUAAGAGCAAAUCUUAAUUUUCAGUGAUUCUUAGAAAGUCAGCUCGUCUGCCGUGGUCAGCUCACACCUCCCCCAGGAGGGCUUCCCCCCUGGGGCCUCCCGCAGCUGGAAAGGGAUCCUCUGAAUCAAGGGAGCGAUUGCGCUGGGAGCUGAAAGGGGGCCGCAGCAUACUUUAAAUUCUGGAAGAACGGGAAGUGCGAGCCCACCGAGCCAGCACCGUGCCCCCUGGAGACCCUGGAAACACUCGGCAGGAUCAGCCCCAAACACCAGCCCAGACCCUAGGCUGACCGCUUACUGCGGCAGGGGAAAGCCUGCUCUCCCCGAAGACUGCAGAAGGCCAAAGACUCGGGGUGAUUGGAAACUCUACAGCUUCCGGCUGCUCUGGGACUUUCUGGAAGCGCUGAACAACCAUGAAAGAAAUACACAUUCCUCAAAGCAAUGAGAUGCAGGAAAGUGUCUCCAAGAAUCACCCCGGACGGCAGGAAGAGGGCGAGAGGAACUUCCAGUGACUGCCAGGGCCAGCGCCGUUCACCUUUAGACUGCGGAUUCUUGAAACCAGGACCUGCUCCCAGGGGCGUGUCCACCAAGCCCACAAGCAAGUGAAUAAAUAAAUAAGAGCGAAGAGAACAAACACAGCUCAGGACCAAGGAGAACCGGGUCUGGACCGGAUGCCCCAGGCCAGCCCCCUGCAGACUCGGCCAUGCGAACGCGUGGGGCCUGCCGGGACUCCAAGAGAUGCCAGGGGCCCCUGCUCAGGCCACACCUGCCCACCACUGCAUUGUCUCUCACAGAGACGAGCCCCUUUUUUCCAGGAUCCACCAGCGGGAAGAACAACUAACUUUCCCAGUUUGGAGGAAAAUGCUACUAUCCUUGGAUGCGUGCAUGAGGAACUCUGCGCCCGAGGACCUGAGGACUUGGCUGUGCCGCGGGGCGUGUGAAAGCAUGAACAAGCAGAUUUGAGGAAACAUCCUGGCGCCAUGGCAACAGGAACCCAACAAAGUGCAGUUGCACACAACAGUUCAAAAGUAAACCGGACACUAAAAUACCCACAAAAAGCUACAAUGACUCACUGUUCUCCCCCAACACUUCAAGAACAGCCAGUUCUUUGACGCUCUGACAGACUUUUUCCCCACUGGAGAAACUGAGACAAAGAACCUAAAAAGCAGCUUUGAAAUUCUCUCUCGUUUCACCAGCAAGUUGAUCUGAGGAGAUGCGACAUGCCUGGAGUUCAGAGUUUAGAGUCUGGAAACGACCUUCAUGUGGCGAGAACUGUUUGAUGCUUUCCCUGAAAGCCCACCUGAAGGUCCAAGCAGGCCGGCCCGGCGUGUGCCACGCUGAGGCUCAAGCUCCGGUCAGGGGCGAAGACAGCACCACCUCCACCGCGAGCCGCCUUCCCUUGCCCCGCACAAACGGCCGCUCGUCCACCUGCCCCACGACCUGUGGGGACACGCCGUGACCUCACAAUCUCGUCUGCAGUAGGAAGCACCAGAAAUGCGCCUGGGAAGGAGCUUUGCCACCAGUGGGUAAACAUUUGUCAACAAAGUCACUGCUUUAAACUUGACCUAGUGUGGCCUGUUGUUUUAAUCUUUCGCAACAUAAAUUAUUCAUGGAGUUUGAAAGUC